GUGUGACAUGGAUUUCACGGAGAAUUAGUGAGAAAUCUGUGUCCACUCAAGCACAUUUUAUGUUGUCUGAAUGUGAGGAUUCUCCUUUGGGCUGUUUAUGGGCAGGGUGGGAGAGAGAUCGCAGAGGUGCAGUCAUGGGCUUCCAGAGGCUUUUUACAAUUCUGUAGUGGCCAUGCUGGGAAGACGCCCUGAGAAGACACUGCGACUGUCCAUGUGACAGCUGCGGGAGUGAAAGCCAUUGGAAAUUCCUCCAAACCCAUUGAGCCAAGGCUGCCACUGCCAUGUCCCAUCCAGGUGAGGCUUUGGCCAGAGCUGGCUAUGGACUGGUUUGCAUUUCCCUGCUUUUGAUUUCCCUGACAGUCUACGGUGGAAAUGCCCAUGGGGAGUGAGGAGAUGGAAGAGAACACAAAGGCAGACAGGAAAGGCUGAGAAGGUUCUCCCAUUGGACACAUAGUCCUCAGAUGCAUGAACUGUCCCUUGAGAGAGAGGAGUGGGACUGUAGGUCUAAAUUCACAUCACUGUAAAUUCCAUUUGUAUCUUCACGGGAUGUGACGAGGACCAUAAUGUCAACGCUCUUGAGACGUCUGCCCACAGGUGCCCUCGUGCUGAAGCUUUCCCUCCCAGCUCCCAUUUCAGGAAUGAAGUGUUUCUUCCCCUAGCUGCAGCAGAUGUCACCAGUGGACAGUCUUCAGUGGACAGCUCUCUUCUGGAAAUACCCUAGCUGAAGGGAGCCAGUCUAAGCUGCACAGCUCUUCCUGAUGCAGACUAUACACCAGCCAUGAUGCCGAAGUCAACUUGCAAGUGGAGAGAGAAGGAAUUCAGACCAGAAAUGGACUAGGGUUCACAGCUGAAAAAUACCAGUAGUGGCCAUGAGGUAGGUUGUGUGAGCCACAGACCUGAGAGACACCGUGGGCAGCAGCAGGAGAGGCGGUGGUGACAGAGGCCAGCACCCCAGGCCCCUGGUCUGCAAACACCUCCAGUGAAGCCAGGGCAGAGUGGUGACCAGGCGCCAUCCUCCUCCACUGUCAUGACAGCAGGUGAGACCUGGAAUGUGUGUGCAACCCCACAGGGAGCCAGGAUCAGGAACACUUGAAUUCAUUAAAGUAAAGUAACCCCAAACUGACAGAGAAGCCUUGAACUGAAAGAGAAAUUACUUAAUUGCCUGAGAAAUAGCUAAAUUUAUUUUUGCACACCUGAGGCUUGUGAACAAUCUGAACUUCAUACCUGCUCCACAGUGUUUGCAGUUUAAUCACUUCUUUCCUGCUUUUCAUUACAACGGCAGGGGGAACAGAAUAGGGUGCCAGGACAAGGCCCACAGACACAGCUCAGUAAGCUCUCCAGCUCUCCAACAAAAUCCUACCUGCGAGGGUGUGGCAGCCAUGGAAAUGCCUUGCUCAAAUCUCUCUGCAAGAGAAGCUUCUGUGGAGAACACUGCUGACUACAGCCUCCAGCUGCUAAGCCUUGGAUCCAUCAUGGCGGCCAAGCCAGGUCCCACCUCCCCAGGCUACCCAGAGAGGGUGCCAAAGCCAGGACUCUGGAGGAUUCCUCUUCCUGGCAGCUUUGGCCCAGGGACUCCCAGUGGCCCAACUGGGACUCUCAGGGCUUCUGUGACAUCUGAGGCUCCUCCUGACCAUCCUUCUUCCCUCUCUGCCCUCACAGGGGUCAGACCCGCACUUCAGUCUGAGGGUCCUCCCUGCCUUCCUAUGCUCCCUCCCCUUUGUCACCAAAUGUCUCCUCCAAUAAACCUCUGGCAUGUCUACUCUAGUCCUAGCAUCUGCUUUUCAGAGCACCUAAACUGACAAGGGAGAAGGAAGAUGUUCCCUGGAAAGCACUCAGCAUAAAAAAAACAAGAGAUGGCCUGAGGAUCUUGACUCGGGAAUAGGCUUUGCUAGAGAGAGGCAGGGAUCAGAGCGUAGUAUGCCAUCUUGUGUUUGAAGCCAGCGUUGGCCCAGCUCCCUGGACUCCUGUUUGGGUUCUGAAGUCAGAGGAUGUGACAAAAACGUUCAUCAAACUUUGCGACAUGCUAGGGGGUGCCUCUCCACCAGAGUGUAACCCAAAGCGGGGGCAUUCUCUCCAAUAUGGACACGAGUCCAGCUUGGAAUCCCUAAGAUCUCCCGGUUGAUCUCCCAGUGUUCCUGGUGGGGGCUCCCUCCCAGGCCUGCAGCAGCCUUGGCAGGCAGAGCAGCUACCUGCAGGAGGGACCUGUGUGGAACAGCACUGGAGUGGCACCUGUGACAUCAGAACCAACUGACUGCUUGCUUGUUUGGUGGUUGCUGUUUUAUUUUCUCUAAUGACACCCCUCCAGCUUCAAAAUACCAUGGUUUUAUUCCACGUAGGUCUUGCCUCCCUGACCAGACUGUAAGCUCCCUAUGUCAGGGAUUAUAUUUUCUGUGUUUUCAUCCAUUUCUAGGGACAUCAUAGAAAUCCAGGAUAUACUGGUUGGCCAUUGGUAGUUACAUAAUUGUCCAAAUUUUAUUUUUUAUUUUUAUUUAUUUUUUUGAGAUGGAGUCUCACUCUGUCACCCAGGCUAGAGUGCAGUGGCAUGAUCUUGCUCAUUGCAACCUCCACUGAGUUCAAGCGAUUCUCCUGCCUCAGCCUCCCAAGUAGCUGGGUGAACGUCACCACAUCCCACUCAUUUUUGUAUUUUUAGUAGAGACGGUGUUUCACCAUGUUGGUCAGGCUGGUCUUGAGCUCCUGACCUUAAGUGAUUUGCCCACCUCAGCCUCACAGAGUGCUGGGAUUACAGGUAUGAGUCACUGUGCCCAGCCUCAAAAUUUAUUUUAGACCUUCAACUCUUUGUAUAGUUUCAUGUGCAAGGGCACUAUAUCAAUACUGUUUGAGGAUGGUUAUUUUCCAAUUGCUAUUCCUCUUGAUAUGAAAGCUAUGAUGAGCAAGAAAUUCAGAGAUAUAAAAAGAAAUUGUUUUUUCAAAAGAUGAAUUUAUCAACUCACGAUAACAUACCAGGCAUAGUGAUGGGCUUUGCAGGGGGAAUGAUGACACAAAGAUGAGCAGGACACAACCCCUGUCGUGCACUCAUGUGGCCUGAUGGGAGGGACAGGCAUGAAUCAAUAGGUCUUAUACAAUAGGAUAAGAGCUACAGAGUCUGGGGACCCGGGGGUUCUGACGGCACAGGAAAGAGGGUGACUAACUUUAUCUUGAAAUCCUCAGGAACGCUCUGGAGAGGAUUAGUAAUUGAACUGGCUCUUGCAGGCUGAGUAGGUGUUUGCCAGUUGACAACAGAAUGUAGGGGGAGGAUGUCCAAGAAGAGGAGAGGAGGGCUUUACAAGUGCAGAAAGGCCAGGAAAUCACAGUCUUCCCAGAAUGUGUGGAAAGUGAGAGGCUUAGGGGCAUGGCCAGCCAUGGGCAGUGAAGCAGCUUAGCCCUAGGUUUUCAAGGCCUUUAAACACCACCCUUGGGAACCCAAACUUUGCCCUUGAGUUUGUUACUGUGGAGCCGUGUAACGUUCUGGAGGGUAG
RNAcentral lists this long non-coding RNA (3476 nucleotides) under Homo sapiens (human). Its description in RNAcentral is "HSALNT0100429". The record is from RNAcentral. Lineage: Eukaryota; Metazoa; Chordata; Mammalia; Primates; Hominidae.